RNAcentral lists this ribosomal RNA (460 nucleotides) under uncultured bacterium. RNAcentral describes it as "partial 16S ribosomal RNA". It matches the Rfam family "Bacterial small subunit ribosomal RNA", at positions 338 to 795 of the family's 1533-position model. The record is from RNAcentral.
CCUACGGGUGGCAGCAGUGAGGAAUAUUGGUCAAUGGGCGCGAGCCUGAACCAGCAAAGUCGCGUGAAGGAUGACUGCCCUCCGAGUUGUAAACUUCUUUUAUAAAGGAAUACAGUGAGGCACGUGUGCCUUUUUGUAUGUACUUUAUGCAUAAGGAUCGGCUAACUCCGUGCCCGCAGCCGCGGUCAUACGUAGGAUUCGAGCGUUAUCCGGAUUUAUUGGGUUUAAAGGGAGCGUAGAGGGGUUGUUAAGUCAGUUGGGAAAGUGUGCGGGUCAACCGUAAAAUUGCAAUUGAUACUGGCAGCCUUGAGGACAGUUGAGGUAGGCGGAAUUCGUGGUGUAGCGGUGAAAUGCUUAGAUAUCACGAAGAACUCCGAUUGCGAAGGCAGCCUACUAAACUGCCACUGACAUUGAUGCUCGAAAGUGUGGGUAGCAAACAGGAUUAGAUACCCCGGUAGUC